AACGAACGCUGGCGGCAUGCUUAACACAUGCAAGUCGAACGAGACCUCCGGGUUUUGUGGCGCUCGGGUGCGUAACGAGUGGGAACCUGCCCUUAGGUUCGGAAUACCUCCCCGAAAGGGGUGCUAAUACAGGUUAAUGUCAUCGGACCUAGGAGUUAUGGCCUUUGGAUGGGGCCGCGUUGGUUUAGCUGGUUGGGAGGGUAAAAGCGUGCCAUGGCGACGUUGCUGAGCUGGUCGGUGAGGAUGAUCAGCCAGACUGGGAGUGCGACACGGCCCAGACUCGGAGGCAACGGAGCGGAGGGUAAUAUAGGGGAAGGAGCGCAAGCCUGAUCCAGCAAUGCCGCGUAUGUGGUGAAGGGCUUUGUGAUGUAAUUCUCUUUUACCCGAGAUGAUAGUGACGGUACCGGGAGAAGAAGCACCGGCUAACUACGUG
This 433-nucleotide ribosomal RNA is filed under the name uncultured bacterium. Its description in RNAcentral is "partial 16S ribosomal RNA". It matches the Rfam family "Bacterial small subunit ribosomal RNA", at positions 29 to 507 of the family's 1533-position model. The record is from RNAcentral.